AAUAAGAACCUGUAUGGCGAACUACACCAAUAGAAAAGGCUCCAACGUCGUUAAAGAAAACUCAAACCGGGACCAAAACUCAACCUGUCACUACUUCGUUGUAUUUUGUUCUCUGUGUUUUCUUUCUUUCUAUGUAGAUUUCGUGCUUUUGUUUUUCUUUCUUCCAAACGCUUUCUUUCCUUUGGUUUCAAUGUUGUUUCUUUCUUUUCUUUUUCCCGUGUCAAAAAAAAAAUUCCCCUUAAGUGUUGAUGACUUUGUAUUCAUAUAGGUGUAGGUGUGUUUGUCGUGUGUGUGUGUUAUGGGAAAAUGGGGGAGAUGUUCUGUGAGAGUGGGACUGGUGGGUGGUUUGGGUAGUUUAGGAUUCUCUCUUCUUUUUUUUUUCUUUUUUUUUUAAUUAAUAUUUUAAAUAAAAUAAAAAUAAUAAAAUCUAUUUUAAAACUAACAAAAUACAAGAUAAGUUAAUUAGCUAGUCUUAGGAAUAUGGUUAAGAAAUAUUAA
This 498-nucleotide long non-coding RNA is filed under the name Capsicum annuum. Its description in RNAcentral is "long non-coding RNA (CANN_LNC013315)". Lineage: Eukaryota; Viridiplantae; Streptophyta; Magnoliopsida; Solanales; Solanaceae. The record is from RNAcentral.